GAUGAAGAACGUAGUGAAAUGCGAUAAGUAAUGUGAAUUGCAGAAUUCAGUGAAUCAUCGAAUCUUUGAACACACCUUGCACCCUUUGGCAUUCCGAAGGGUAUGCUCGUUUGAGUGUCAUUGUACUCUCACACUCUCCGAUCCUAUGGAUUCGGGGAGCGGUGGACUUGGGUGUUGCUGCCUUUCCCUGUGGCUCACCUCAAAUGCGUCAGUGCACCUCUUGGUUGGACAUAGUACGGCGUGAUAAGUGUCUUCGCCGGCACCUCGCAAGAGGGUGGCCGAUCGGGAGCUCUGCGCUUUCAAACCGUCUUCGGACAAUUUCUGACAUCUUGACCUCAAAUCGAGUAGGACUACCCGCUGAACUUAAGCAUAUCAAUAAGCGGAGGA
This 387-nucleotide unclassified non-coding RNA is filed under the name soil metagenome. RNAcentral's name for it is "partial contains 5.8S ribosomal RNA, internal transcribed spacer 2, and large subunit ribosomal RNA". The stretch from base 1 to 120 matches the Rfam family "5.8S ribosomal RNA", at positions 35 to 154 of the family's 154-position model. The record is from RNAcentral.